AAGAUACUAGUAUAGCUGAUAAUACAUUGCCUUGUCGAGGCAAACUGUGGGUAAACCCCCGCGUGUCUUG
This 70-nucleotide transfer RNA is filed under the name Apogon semilineatus (half-lined cardinal). Its description in RNAcentral is "tRNA-Asp". The record is from RNAcentral. Lineage: Eukaryota; Metazoa; Chordata; Actinopteri; Kurtiformes; Apogonidae.